This 460-nucleotide ribosomal RNA is filed under the name uncultured bacterium. RNAcentral describes it as "partial 16S ribosomal RNA". It matches the Rfam family "Bacterial small subunit ribosomal RNA", at positions 338 to 795 of the family's 1533-position model. The record is from RNAcentral.
CCUACGGGUGGCUGCAGUGAGGAAUAUUGGUCAAUGGGCUUACGCCUGAACCAGCCAAGUCGCGUGAGGGAAGACUGCCCUAUGGGUUGUACACCUCUUUUGUCAGGGAGCAACGCCGGCUACGUGUAGCCGGACUGAGCGUACCUGAAGAAACAGCAUCGGCUAACUCGGUGCCCGAGACCGCGGUAAUACGGAGGAUGCGAGCGUUAUCCGGAUUUAUUGGGUUAAAGGGGUCCGUAGGGGGAAUGCAAGGUCAGCGGUAAAAUCGCGGGGCUCACCAUCGCUCCGCAGUUGAAACUGGUAUUCUUGAGUGAGGGAGAGGUAUGCGGAAUGCGUGGUGUAGCGGUGAAAUGCAUAGAUAUCACGCAGAACACCGAUUGCGAAGGCAGCAUACCGGAGCUCAACUGACGCUCAUGCACGAAAGUGUGGGUAGCGAACAGGAUUAGAUACCCCGGUAGUC